Long non-coding RNA from Corvus hawaiiensis (hawaiian crow), 3014 nucleotides. RefSeq lists it as uncharacterized. Lineage: Eukaryota; Metazoa; Chordata; Aves; Passeriformes; Corvidae. The transcript is spliced from 3 exons. The record is from RefSeq and is a predicted model, not a curated record.
UCCACUUCGAAACCAACCACAUGGGUGGUUUUCCUUUUCUUUUUUUUUUUUUUAUCUCUCGCUCUCUCUCUCUCUUUUUUUUUUUUUUUAACAUAUGCGUACAUAUUUCCGUUCUUUUCUAAUAAUUCAGUUAUCUCCCCUUCGUGAAGAUCGGGAGGAAACAUAAACACGCACACAAAGAAGUGCCGAGCCAUGCAAAUUCAAAGAGAGAACAAAUCAUCCGCUGAUUAUACCGGGUCCAAUUUUCUCUCCCUUCGUGCACCACCAGCCACCACAGACGCACACACUUUUUUUUUCAGAGCAAAUGAUGCUAUUUGAUGGAGGGGUGGGAAGAGAGGGGAAAAACCCUGCUCUGCCGUAGAAAAGAAAUUCGAAGAAUUAAAAUUGGGAGGAGAGAAACUGGGACUUUUCUUUCCCCUCCUCCCCCCCUUCUUUGAAGCUGAGAGAAGGGCGACUGCCCCGGGACACUGCAGGAGUAAAAAAAAAAAAGGAAAAAAAAAAAGGUCUGAGAAAGAUCAAAAACCGGCUCCGCAAGUCCCAGGGGCGACCUCUCCCCCCGACACAUUCCCCAAACUGCGCGGCAGAGGCGCGGAGAGGAGCCGGGCAAAGCGGAGAAGGGGAGGGGGACUCGUGUCACCCCUGCUCCGGGUGUCAGGACCCAGGCAGGACCCAGCUCCCUUCCCUCCUUCCUUCCCUACCUCCACGGACAGCCACGUUUCAAGCUCAACCCGGCUGCAGGAGAGGCUCCCGACCCUGGAGCGGGUCUCCGCCGCGGCACCGGGCACCGCUCCCACCGCAGGGCGCUGGGCAGCCCUCCCGAAAGGCUUCGACCCCACAAAUUAAAAAAUAAGGAAAGAGAAAAGCCAGCAAACAGCCUGAACAGCCACUCCAAAUUACGGAGAGGUUAAAGAAGUGCUCAGUAGGGAAAAGUAAUUUUUAAAAUAAAUAAAUAAAAAAAGGAGGGAGGAGGGGAGCCGGCUUAUUUCGGGUUUCUCGAUUUUGCUUUAUCUCCCUCGUUUUGAGCGAGAGAUUUGCAGGCGAAUUGAAGCAUCUUGCGGGCUUUAAACCCGGCAAGUGCCGUUUUCCUCGCACCCCACGAAGAAGGCGAAGCUGCCGAUGUGUUUAAGGAUUCUUUUUUGUCUUUUUUUUCUUCUUUUUUUUUUUUUUUUUUUUUUUCUCCGAAAGCAGAAAUUACCCCGGGACUUAAAGAAGAAAACACAAAUCGCCCGGCGGCUGGCGUAAGAGGCGGCGGCAGAAUUAACACCAGCUCCUCGGUGAGACGCAGGGGCAGAUCCCGACCUCCCAGGAUUAAAACCGGAGCGAUUUACUCCGGGAAGCGGCCGGCUGCUGUUAAUUUAAAGCCCUCCUUGCACCCCCCAAAACAAAUCCCCCGUGCCCACAGACCCCACCGGCUGUAACCCCGCACGACGCGGCCGCCCCGCAUGGUGACAACCCACUCCCUAACCGUGGGGCUCGUAUUUACCGUCAGAGGCUCCAAAAUUCAAACAAUGUCGAGGGUGUCGGAGUGUGCACGAUUUCUUUCCGACCUAAAGAGACGGCUACCGCACCCCAAAUUCCCCUGAGGAGCACGUACAGGCACCCCGAGAUGCUGUCCCGCCCCCGUCCAAGCACAAGGCGAUGCUCUUCGCAUCCCGGGGGGCGAGAGCAGCCCCCAGCCGGGUGUUCCCCCUCCUCCUCGUCCCACUCCCUACCUGCCCCUGCCGGGAAAAACCUUCUCGUCUUAUUUUCCACCUUGAAAUUAAAACACCCCCCUCGGCUCUGUAAAAAAAAUUCACAUCCCCGGGAGAAGGAAGCGCUUCGCCCCAGCCGGGAGCAAAAUGCAGCGGCGGGUUGAGGGUAGACCUUCCCUCUUCCCUCCUUCCUUUCCGAGAGCCUGUUUCUCCUUUCCCGGGGCCCCCAGGUUGCCGGGACCCUUUCUUUCCCCCCUGUCUGUCCGGGGACUCCUCCCGGUGCAGCCGGGGAGCUGGGACCUGUGUCCGCCUCGGCGGAGCAGCAGCCCCUGCCCGCGGCACCGACGGGUCCCGGCUCCCUCGCUCCGCACCUGCGGCCCAUAAAUAAUGGAGAAAACAAGCAGGGCCGGUGGUUAUUAAUUAUCCGGUUUCAUUAAAAUCCGUCACCCGGAGCCUGCUGCCUGUGUACGGACACGUGAAGGUAAGAGGAGCUGGGAUGGAUGGAUGGAUGGAUGGAUGGAUGGAUGGAUAGAUAGAUAGAUAGAUAGAUAGAUAGAUAGAUAGAUAGAUAGAUAGAUAGAUAGAUAGAGGGAUGGAUGGAUUUUCUCCCCUUUCUGUUCUCAAAACGCUCGAUGGCAGAUAACGUGGAUUUUUUGACAGCACGAGCCAUUCCCACUGCUCCCUCCCGAAACAUCCUCUGCACGGUUUGGAGGGUGAAAAAUUCUCCUACAAGGCGGGGAAGGAGGAGAGAGACUUCAGUGCAGGGAUGCCGGGAGAGAGAGGAAACUCUCUUCUUGUCCCUCGGCCCCCAGUCCUGCCGGAGCCCACGACGGCCCAGCCCGGCCCGGCCCGGCCCGGCCCGCGGAUCUCCGCAGCGGGACCAGGAGCCGCCGGGAAGGUGCGGGUCCGGCCCCGGAGCAGAGCCAUCUCCCUCCUCAUCCCAGCCUGCCUUUACCACACACCUCUGGGGUAGCUCUGCUCUGCGUUUCUAAGCACAGAUCGACCGAACAGAAUCAAAUCAAAUCAAAUCGGAGUUAUUCGUGGGAAGAGCACAGAACCACAGCCAUUGGCACAUGCCUGCCCGCAUGAAUAUCGCUGUACACAGAGCGAUACACAGAGUAUGUGAGUCCGGAUAUACAAUAUAAAUAUAUACGAAUAUAUAUAUAUUUUCAUAUGCGCAUAGGUAUGAAGCCAGGCACAGAAAGGCCCCGCAUAUCCCGCAGAUAAAUAUUCCUUCCAGUCCUGAGAUUAAUAUUUGCUUAAUAUUUCACAUCCCAGCUAUGUCAACACCGUGUCCCAUCUCCCAGCCCCCGCCGCCCCAGA